This is a long non-coding RNA of Capsicum annuum, 1031 nucleotides long. RefSeq lists it as uncharacterized. The transcript is spliced from 2 exons. Lineage: Eukaryota; Viridiplantae; Streptophyta; Magnoliopsida; Solanales; Solanaceae. The record is from RefSeq and is a predicted model, not a curated record.
GCGACAUACAAAACAACAAUGACAAAUCGACAAUAAUGUUCAAUAGCCAAAAAUCAGCAUACAAUAGCAGCUGCAACAUCGAUUUAGUAGCAGCAAUUCACCUGCAAUAAUACACAUAAAUUGCGUACAACCGGUAAUAAUUUCAACGUGACCCAAAUCCGGGUCCAACCAAUAAACAGACUCGGUGUAUUUUUUAGGAAAAUUGUAGAAUCUCUACACCUUACCGGCCUGCAUAGAUUGUAUGAAUUCAUAUGAUUCAAAUUUAUUCCAUGUUUUAUCCCUUUAUUCAAGCUGAAAAUUCCAAAACUAUACUCGGUUAUUCCUUUGUCCCAUAUAUGUGGGAGCACAAAGUGUGACCCUCCUCUCCUCCUAUCGAAGGAUCAUUGUGGAGCAUGAAUGUACCAAGUCUUGAGGGUUGAAAAACUUUUGAAGUCUUGAGGGUUGAAAAACUUUUGAGCAAAAAAGUUCAUUUUUCUAGUAAAAAAAAAUUGUGAGAAGUUGUCGACUAUUCUAAGUUCUCGGAGUCGCAGAGGCUUGCCGGUGGUGGUAAAUAUUCAGUUAGAGGCUCUAGUUUCGUUUUGCUACUCCAAAACAGAAUGGAAUCCCCCUACCUUGCAUUUUCAAUGGGCGAAUGAGGCCCGUCUUUUCGAAUCAACUUUGAAUAGAAGGUCCCAAAGUCAAUACAUGGCAUAGGAUAUAAGGAGUUGGAAGAAUGAAAGAUGGGUCAAAAUCCAUUAUUGAAAUAACUGAGUGACUUGAAAGUCUCUUCUUUUUUUUUGUUAGUAUUGUUUUACUUAUUUUUAUUUAUUUUGUUAUCUAUUUAUUCAUUUGGAGCCUCGAAGCCGAAGUUGUAAAUUAAUACAGGUAAGCAAAUUUUGGGCCAAAGGGUUCGAAAAGAUAGUUUAGGAUAGGUUACGGGCCAAAAGCCCAAUAUUUAGAUAAGAACAGGUGUUGUUUAUAGGCCAAAAGCCCAAAUUAUCUUAGGACGGGUUUAUAGAUUUGGGUCUAAUGGCCUAAGUUUUUCCCCUUUC